UGCCUGUACCAUAACCGACACAGGUGGGUAGGUAGAGUAUACUAAGGGGCGCGAGAUAACUCUCUCUAAGGAACUCGGCAAAAUGACUCCGUAACUUCGGGAGAAGGAGUGCCUUAUUAUAAGGUUGCAAUAACAAGAUCCAGCAACUGUUUAUCAAAAACACAGGUCUCCGCUAAGUCGUAAGACGAUGUAUGGGGGCUGACGCCUGCCCAGUGCCAGAAGGUUAAAGAAGUUGGUUAGUGUAUGCGAAGCUGAUGACUGAAGCCCUGGUGAACGGCGGCCGUAACUAUAACGGUCCUAAGGUAGCGAAAUUCCUUGUCGGGUAAGUUCCGACCCGCACGAAAGGCGUAAUGAUUUGGAUACUGUCUCGGAGAGAGGCUCGGUGAAAUAGACUUGUCUGUGAAGAUGCGGACUACCUGCACCAGGACAGAAAGACCCUAUGAAGCUUUACUGUAACUUGAAAUUGGAAUUGGACUUUGCUUGCGCAGUAUAGGUGGGAAGCGUUGAAGAUAUUCUUGCGGGAGUAUUGGAGCUAUCAGUGAGAUACCACUCUUGUAAUGUUAGAUUUCUAACUUUGAACCAUAAUCUGGUCAAAGAACAGUUUCAGGUGGGCAGUUUGACUGGGGCGGUCGCCUCCCAAAUGGUAACGGAGGCGUACAAAGGUUUCCUCUGAACGGAUAGAAAUCGUAUCUAGAGUGUAAAGGCAUAAGGAAGCUUGACUGUGAGACCUACAAGUCGAGCAGGGACGAAAGUCGGUCUUAGUGAUCUGACGGUACUGAGUGGAAAGGCCGUCACUCAACGGAUAAAAGUUACUCUAGGAUAACAGGCUGAUCUCCCCCAAGAGUUCACAUCGACGGGGAGGUUUGGCACCUCGAUGUCGGCUCAUCGCAUCCUGGGGCGGUAGUACGUCCCAAGGGUUGGGCUGUUCGCCCAUGAAAGCGGUACGCGAGCUGGGUUCAGAACGUCGUGAGACAGUUCGGUCCAUAUCCAGUGUAGGCGUUAGAAUAUUGAGAGGAGCCUUCUUUAGUACGAGAGGACCGAGAAGGACACACCGCUGGUGUACCAGUUAUCGUGCCAACGGUAAACGCUGGGUAGCUAUGUGUGGAGUGGAUAACCGCUGAAAGCAUCUAAGUGGGAAGCCCACCUCAAGAUGAGUAUUCUCAUCACUAUAAGUGAGUAAGGUCACGGUAAGACUAACCGUUUGAUAGGCAUUAAGUGUAAAUGUAGUAAUGCAUGUGCUGAGAUGUCCUAACAGACC
Molecule: ribosomal RNA, 1258 nt
Filed under: metagenome
Description: bacterial LSU rRNA
Rfam family: Bacterial large subunit ribosomal RNA
Source: RNAcentral